UGCAGUCGAACGGUGAAGGCGGGAGCUUGCUCCUGCCGGAUCAGUGGCGAACGGGUGAGUAACACGUGAGUAACCUGCCCUUGACUCUGGGAUAAGCGUUGGAAACGACGUCUAAUACCGGAUACGAGCUUCAGCCGCAUGGCUAGGAGCUGGAAAGAACUUCGGUCAAGGAUGGACUCGCGGCCUAUCAGCUAGUUGGUGAGGUAAUGGCUCACCAAGGCGACGACGGGUAGCCGGCCUGAGAGGGUGACCGGCCACACUGGGACUGAGACACGGCCCAGACUCCUACGGGAGGCAGCAGUGGGGAAUAUUGCACAAUGGGCGCAAGCCUGAUGCAGCAACGCCGCGUGAGGGACGACGGCCUUCGGGUUGUAAACCUCUUUUAGCAGGGAAGAAGCGAAAGUGACGGUACCUGCAGAAAAAGCACCGGCUAACUACGUGCCAGCAGCCGCGGUAAUACGUAGGGUGCAAGCGUUGUCCGGAAUUAUUGGGCGUAAAGAGCUCGUAGGCGGUUUGUCGCGUCUGCUGUGAAAACGCGAGGCUCAACCUCGCGCCUGCAGUGGGUACGGGCAGACUAGAGUGCGGUAGGGGAGAUUGGAAUUCCUGGUGUAGCGGUGGAAUGCGCAGAUAUCAGGAGGAACACCAAUGGCGAAG
This 654-nucleotide ribosomal RNA is filed under the name bacterium SVAL1.11. RNAcentral describes it as "bacterial SSU rRNA". It matches the Rfam family "Bacterial small subunit ribosomal RNA", at positions 56 to 720 of the family's 1533-position model. The record is from RNAcentral.